GCCCAAUGAUGAGACCAAGGCGAAUGCGAGCUCAGUGGAUAAGAGUCCGAGCUCUCCUGUGCUCCUAUUGGCUGGUAAUCUUGGCUGGGCAGCGGAGAUUUGCUGCUUUGCUGUAAGGGCCUGCCUACAUUAAACAAGUUUUUCUCAUCAAGCUCUUAGUCAGAGGAAUGUUCGAGAGAGAUGGGAAGAACGGUCAUUUGUGUGUAUGUUUGAGUGUGUGUGGACACAGGUUGAAACUUGGUUCUCUGCAAUGUCCAAUGAGCUAUGAGCUGCUUCUUUGGUAAUCUGAGGGCA
Small nucleolar RNA from Danio rerio (zebrafish), 294 nucleotides. NCBI's taxonomy places the organism in Eukaryota, Metazoa, Chordata, Actinopteri, Cypriniformes, Danionidae. The record is from Ensembl.